Long non-coding RNA from Pollicipes pollicipes, 811 nucleotides. RefSeq lists it as uncharacterized. The record is from RefSeq and is a predicted model, not a curated record. The transcript is spliced from 3 exons. Lineage: Eukaryota; Metazoa; Arthropoda; Thecostraca; Pollicipedomorpha; Pollicipedidae.
CCUGGACGGCGAGCAGGCGGCGGCGGCCAACAGUUCCGAGCCGGCCCGCCUCAGGAAGUACUACCGUCAGAUCCUCGAGCCCGCCGUCGGGCAAGCCCCUCAGUUGGCAGCGCUGAGCAGAGCGCUCGACGCGACAUCUGUGGAGUGCAGUCGCUACUACAUGUGUCAGAUGGCGAUGACGGCGACAUCUUUCGGCGAACCUUUCGACAUCGGGAUGCCUCUGCUGAGUUUGCCGGUGUCCUGGAUCUUGACGGAGACGCAGGGGGGCCAGUUCGGCCAAUACUGCGGCAGUGCCGUGCUGGGUGGCUCGGGCAAAGGCGACUGCGCCCUCCUCUACCCCGGCUGCACACACGCCUGAGGACUACGGGCGGCUGCAGACACGUCUGGGGACCACGAGCAGCUGGAGGAGCUUAUGGGGACUCGGGUAGUGAAGUGAGUGAAUGGUGAAGACAGCAGAUUCUCUCGAUGAUCUGCUGGUCCUCGCGAGAGCCCUCAGACAGCAGAUCUUACUGAGGAUCUACCGGUCAUCGCGAGAGCCCUCAGACAGCAGAUCUUACUGAGGAUCUACCGGUCAUCGCGAGAGCCCUCAGACAGCAGAUCUUACUGAGGAUCUACCGGUCAUCGCGAGAGCCCUCAGACAGCAGAUCUUACUGAGGAUCUACCGGUCAUCGCGAGAGCCCUCAGACAGCAGAUCUUACUGAGGAUCUACCGGUCAUCGCGAGAGCCCUCAGACAGCAGGUUCGACUGAGAAUCUCCUGGUCCUUGCGACAGCACUCAGAUCCUCAAGCGGGACUGAGAGCCCUUGGGAGAU